Molecule: ribosomal RNA, 480 nt
Filed under: uncultured bacterium
Lineage: Bacteria
Description: partial 16S ribosomal RNA
Rfam family: Bacterial small subunit ribosomal RNA
Source: RNAcentral
GACGAACGCUGGCGGCGUGCUUAACACACGCAAGUCGAGCGAUGAAGCACCUUCGGGUGUGGAUUAGCGGCGAACGGGUGAGGAACACGUGAGGAAUCUGCCUUUCACUUCGGGAUAACUCCGGGAAACCGGGGCUAAUACCGGAUAUUUUCAACUGGCGGCAUCGCCGGUUGAAGAAAGUUUUUCGGUGAAAGAUGACCUCGCGGCCUAUCAGCUUGUUGGUGAGGUAAUGGCUCACCAAGGCGACGACGGGUAGCCGGCCUGAGAGGGCGACAGGCCACACUGGGACUGAGACACGGCCCAGACUCCUACGGGAGGCAGCAGUGGGGAAUAUUGGGCAAUGGAGGAAACUCUGACCCAGCGACGCCGCGUGAGGGAUGAAGGCCUUCGGGUUGUAAACCUCUUUCAGCAGGGAAUAAGCGAAAGUGAAGGUACCUGCAGAAGAAGCACCGGCUAACUAUGUGCCAGCAGCCGCCGCAG